Molecule: long non-coding RNA, 706 nt
Filed under: Gopherus agassizii (Agassiz's desert tortoise)
Lineage: Eukaryota; Metazoa; Chordata; Testudines; Testudinidae
Description: lncRNA (ENSGAGG00000006674.1)
Source: RNAcentral
CCAUGGCUUGCAAAGUCUCGGGAAAGUUGCCAUUGCCCGGCGUAUGCCACCCCCUGCGAACCUGCCAAGCUUAAAAGCGGAGAACAAAGGCAAUGACCCCAAUGUCUCACUAGUACCGAAAGACGGGACAGGAUGGGCAAGCAAGCAGGAACAGUCAGACCCAAAGAGGUGAGGAGCCGUCCCCCCUGGGAGUGGGGUGGGCCUGGCCCGGGGGACAGGGCCUUUCCCCUCUAGGGGGCGCUGGCUCCCAUCAGGCCCCAGGUCUGAAGUCUCUCUCUCUCUCUCUCUCUGCCUCGCUCAUUCCCCCGUCUCAGUACCGAUGCCUCGACAGCUCAGCCGCCGGAAUCGCCGUCGCCGCCGGCUUCGCAGACAUCUGCCUCAAACCCACCGAAACGACCCCCAACAGCACCCGAGAAUCCCCCUACAGUAGCAAGCGGGGUAAAGUCUUGGGCACAGGCCAGCGUUACCCAUGGAGCGCAAGGAGAUGGUGGAAAGGGAUCAAACCUACUGUCGCGAUUCUCUCGCGAGGAAUUUCCGACCCUGCAGGCGGCUGGAGACCAGGACAAAGCUGGCAAAGAAAAGGACACUGCCGAUGCGUCGUAUGGGCCCGGACCAAACCUCCGCCCCCAGAAUGCGACGAGCUGGCGGGAUGGAGGCGGGCGGGGCACUGACGGGGAGGUGCCCGAGCAGCACCCCGGAGCCCCCG